CUGUAUGGUAACAUUAAUUUCCGUUUAUGAAAUCAUAGAAGAGGAACUUGUUUUGGUGGCAUGGGUCUAGUGAUGUUUGGAAUGUGAUCCGUUUGUGUCUAACCUGAAGUCGAAUUUUAACCCCUUACCACUGGCAUGUUGUUUAAUCCUUCUUAACCCACUAUUGAGGAUCAUUAAUUCAGCUAAGUUUAGGCCUUAGUUUGGUGUUUCUGUCUGUCUCUUGUAUACGAAGAACACAUGGUUCUAAUUAAGUUUCUCUUUACUCUAUUUAAAUUUAUAAAAGCAGAUCAAAGGGUUAGUUCAUCCCUGUUUUAUGGCUUGUUUAUGUCUCAUCCAUGUUUUUGUACAUAGCUUUUGCUUUGAAUAAAAAAUGUUUCUUCUAAAAGAAAAAACAAACUCAAUUGCUCAGAAAACAUCUGGUAUUUAUUGUACGUGAAAAUGAUGAUUAAUAUUUGCCUCUAAACUAUAGUUAGGAAAUCAAAGCAAAUGUACGUGGGGUUCUGUGAAUGUCUGAAACUGCAUGUUCAAGCCUCCCCUGCCUCCUUAUUGUAUAAAACAUUGCGAAACAGUUUGAAUUUGACCUACCAACUACAAUGUCAUACUGUUAUCACUGUCUUUUCUUAGAAAUGCAAAAUGUCCUUAACGCAUAAUAAUAUAGAAUGCAAUCUUUGGUUCUGAUAUAAAUGUUCCAAAUGUUACAGAUAAGUUGUUGAGUAGACUAAUAAGUUGCUCUUGUGUUAUAGGUUUCAGAAGUAAGCUCACUUUUGGGCAAAGCUGGCAUCACUGGGUUUGGGAAGGCUAUACAAUUUUUGGACAGUCUUGGUAGCAGCAUGACAAAUUUGACCUCCAUUGUUGGUACCUCAGGAAUGUCAAGGAAAGAGAAUACAAUUUCAAUUUUGGCUUUUGAAGUUGCCAACACAAUUGUCAAGGGUGCCAACCUGAUGCAAUCCCUUUCAGAGGAUAAUGUCAGACAUUUGAAGGAGGUGGUGCUACCAUCAAAAGGGGUGCAAACUUUAAUAUCUAGAGAUAUGGAUGAGCUCCUGAGAAUUGCUGCUGCUGACAAGAGAGAAGAACUGAAAACAUUUUUCAGUGACGUUGUGCGUUUUGGAAA
This is a non-coding RNA of Prunus avium (sweet cherry), 1111 nucleotides long. The record is from RefSeq and is a predicted model, not a curated record. NCBI's taxonomy places the organism in Eukaryota, Viridiplantae, Streptophyta, Magnoliopsida, Rosales, Rosaceae.